GACGAACGCUGGCGGCGUGCUUAACACAUGCAAGUCGAACGGAAAGGCACGGACGUUGUGGGGUGCUCGAGUGGCGAACGGAUGAGUAACACAUGAGUAAUCUGCCCUUCACUCUGGGAUAACCACAGGAAACUGGGGCUAAUACCGGAUACGAGCUCUCGCAGCAUGGUGUGGGGUGGAAAGUUUCGGCGGUUGAGACUGGUCUGGCGGCUCAUAAGCUUGUGGUUGGGGUAGAGGCUUUCGAAGGCUGGGACGGGUAGCCGGCCUGCGAGGGUGACCGGCCACAUUGGGACUGAGGUACGGCCCAGAGUGCUACGGGAGGCAGCAGUGGGGAAUAUUGCACAAUGGGCGGAAGCCUGAUGCAGCGACGCCGCGUGGGGGAUGACGGCCUUCGGGUUGUAAACCGCUUUCUGCUGUUACGAAGCGUGAGUGACGGUACUGGGAUAAGAAGCACCGGCUAACUACGUG
RNAcentral lists this ribosomal RNA (468 nucleotides) under uncultured bacterium. Its description in RNAcentral is "partial 16S ribosomal RNA". It matches the Rfam family "Bacterial small subunit ribosomal RNA", at positions 28 to 507 of the family's 1533-position model. The record is from RNAcentral.